GACCCCAAAUUUUUGGGAUAAAGCUUAGUUGAGUUUGAGUUUGAGUUCAUGUAUAAGCCAGGAGAAGUUUUCAGUAUUGACCGAUCAUUAAAACAAUAAUGGCUUUAUUUGUGGAAAUUUUAUUAUUUUACAGUGAUUUUGUCUAAUUUGAAAUAAAAUACUAAUAUGUAGUCUUUUUUGAAUUGCAGAACUGUUGUCAGUCAACUGAUUACAGGAUAUCUACCUAGUCUAAUUCUUCAGUUUUUU
RNAcentral lists this unclassified non-coding RNA (246 nucleotides) under Hevea brasiliensis (rubber tree). The record is from RNAcentral. Lineage: Eukaryota; Viridiplantae; Streptophyta; Magnoliopsida; Malpighiales; Euphorbiaceae.